GGAACAUCUAAGCUUCUCUACUCACCAGACGGCCUCAAAUCAUGGGGAGCACCAAAGGCUUGGGACUUAUGUCGUUGUAUCUUUCAUCCACACUAGUCUUUCUGUUGGAAUGCCUUUGCCAAUUUUGACUGCCUGGCAAACUCUUAUUCAUCCUUCAAUUCUCAGAGGGAUAUCUAUCAGACAUUCUACCUGGCGUCUGCUGCUCCAUCAUCACUGCAUCCAUCAUCACCAGAGGAGUCUCCUCUCCUUCUGUGGAGAAUAGAGAGGCCCAAAGAGAGAUAGAUGGAGGAACAGCUGGUUGGUGGAGCAGUCAGAAGGCAUGCAAUAUUUAUCAAGUCCACUAUCUAAUGUGGGCACAGUUUGUGGUACCUCAAAACAGUUGCAAUAGUAACAUCAAAGAUAACUGAUGGCAGAUCACCAUAGCAGAUAAAAUAAUAAUGGCAAAGUUCGAAAUAUAGUGAGAACUACCAAAAUGUGGCAGAGAUGUAAAGCGAGCACAUACUGUUGGGAAAAUGGCACUAAUAGACUUGUUAAACACAGGGUUGCCACAAACUUUCAAUUUGUAAAAAAUGCCAUAUAUGUAAAGUGCAAUAAAGUGAGGUAUGCUUGU
This 610-nucleotide long non-coding RNA is filed under the name Homo sapiens (human). RNAcentral describes it as "novel transcript". The record is from RNAcentral. Lineage: Eukaryota; Metazoa; Chordata; Mammalia; Primates; Hominidae.